UGGAAUUCGGGUCGGGGAUCAAUGUCUUCUCCCGAUUUCCUCGACUCCUUCAGCUCGGACGGCGGCGCCGCCGUCUCCGCCGCUGCCACUCGCCCCUUCGACGACGACGGCUUCCUCGGAUACGACUCCCGCCUCCCCUCCCGGCCCUUCGACGCCUUCUCCUCCUUCGCCACCGACACCGAUCUGGCCGACGAUGACGUCUACCCGCCACCGCCGGCCUCCCUGAUCCCCG
Molecule: unclassified non-coding RNA, 232 nt
Filed under: Hevea brasiliensis (rubber tree)
Lineage: Eukaryota; Viridiplantae; Streptophyta; Magnoliopsida; Malpighiales; Euphorbiaceae
Source: RNAcentral